RNAcentral lists this signal recognition particle RNA (313 nucleotides) under Thermoplasmatota archaeon. Its description in RNAcentral is "signal recognition particle sRNA". It matches the Rfam family "Archaeal signal recognition particle RNA". Lineage: Archaea; Methanobacteriati; Thermoplasmatota. The record is from RNAcentral.
CGCUAGGUCUAACCGGGGCGGUCGGCGUGCCCUUAUACACCGAAAGCGUCGAUACGCGGGGGUGACCGCCGGGGGCGGUGUAAUCAGCCCACCGUCGAGCCAGAUCCAGACGAUGAGACCUCGUCCCUUGGGAUCGGAGGUGCAGUCGAGAACAACCGGAGGGUUGUUCCUUCUGUCUUAGCCAGGUUGACCAGGCCAGGCCCGGAAGGGAGCAGCCGAUACCUGGACUCCCGAUGCUCGAGGGAUAGCGGGGUCGAGGAUGGAUCUGGGCUUUCUCGAUGGUGAGCUGAGCACCCACCCCGGUGACCUAGCA